Molecule: ribosomal RNA, 253 nt
Filed under: uncultured bacterium
Lineage: Bacteria
Description: partial 16S ribosomal RNA
Rfam family: Bacterial small subunit ribosomal RNA
Source: RNAcentral
UACGAAGGGGGCUAGCGUUGUUCGGAAUCACUGGGCGUAAAGCGCACGCAGGCGGAUCGAUAAGUCGGGGGUGAAAGCCCGGGGCUCAACCUCGGAAUUGCCUUCGAUACUGUCGGUCUCGAGUCCGGGAGAGGUGAGUGGAAUUCCUAGUGUAGAGGUGAAAUUCGUAGAUAUUAGGAAGAACACCAGUGGCGAAGGCGGCUCACUGGCCCGGUACUGACGCUCAGGUGAGAACGCUUGGGGAGCAAACCGG